UACGGGGGGGGCAAGCGUUGUUCGGAAUUACUGGGCGUAAAGGGCUCGUAGGCGGCCAACUAAGUCAGACGUGAAAUCCCCAGGCUCAACCUGGGAACUGCGUCUGAUACUGGAUGGCUUGAAUCCGGGAGAGGGAUGCAGAAUUCCAGGUGUAGCGGUGAAAUGCGUAGAUAUCUGGAGGAACACCGGUGACGAAGGCGGCAUCCUGGACCGGCAUUGACGCUGAGGAGCGAAAGCCAGGGGAGCAAACGGG
This 253-nucleotide ribosomal RNA is filed under the name uncultured bacterium. RNAcentral's name for it is "partial 16S ribosomal RNA". It matches the Rfam family "Bacterial small subunit ribosomal RNA", at positions 524 to 776 of the family's 1533-position model. The record is from RNAcentral.